This 496-nucleotide ribosomal RNA is filed under the name uncultured Sphingobacteriales bacterium. RNAcentral describes it as "bacterial SSU rRNA". It matches the Rfam family "Bacterial small subunit ribosomal RNA", at positions 903 to 1382 of the family's 1533-position model. Lineage: Bacteria; Pseudomonadati; Bacteroidota; Sphingobacteriia; Sphingobacteriales. The record is from RNAcentral.
GCCCGCUACAGAAACUUAAAUGAAUUGACGGGGCCCGGCACAAGCGGAGGAGCAUGUGGUUUAAUUCGAUGAUACGCGAGGAACCUUACCUGGGCUCGAACGUAAGAUGACUGUAGGUGAAAGCUUACAUCUCUUCGGAGCAUUUUACGAGGUGCUGCAUGGUUGUCGUCAGCUCGUGCCGUGAGGUGUCGGGUUAAGUCCCAUAACGAGCGCAACCCCUACCUUUAGUUGCCAUCAGGUUAAGCUGGGGACUCUAAAGGAACUGCCUACGCAAGUAGUGAGGAAGGCGGGGAUGACGUCAAAUCAGCACGGCCCUUACGUCCAGGGCUACACACGUGCUACAAUGGCCGAUACAGAGGGCAGCUACCUGGUGACAGGAUGCAAAUCUCCAAAGUCGGUCUCAGUUCGGAUCGGAGUCUGCAACCCGACUCCGUGAAGUUGGAUUCGCUAGUAAUCGCGCAUCAGCCAUGGCGCGGUGAAUACGUUCCCGGGCCUU